CAAGAGGUUUGCGGAAGCGAUUAUCAUGGCCUCAAAGAAAUAUAAGAUUGCUUACAGCAAAAAACGUUCUGGAUGGGCGGAGGAUAUCUUUAAGUGGGAACAUACAAUUCAGACUGGUGUUCCAAUUGACUUAAGAGGGUGUAAUACCGGCUACCUCGUUCUACAAGCUAUGGCCAUGUGGGGGAAUGACAGACGAAUGAAAUUUGUUGGGGAUGCAAAGAUUGUUCGAAGGAACUUUGUGAUUGAUCUGUUAAGUUAUGAGGAUAAUUCGUGCCGAUAUGCCAUCCCUGCAAACAUACAACAGAGACUUAUCGAUAUCGCUAAAAAGGAUUAGCUGAUUAGUGUGAUAUUGAUAAUGUUUUCCACACGGAUUUUGCAUGUUAUAGUGAUGUUUGUCAUUCCGUAUUAAUGUUUUAUACAAAUAUUUUACUUCCGUCGCAACGCACGGACACAUAUCUAUAACAUACAACAGAG
Molecule: unclassified non-coding RNA, 474 nt
Filed under: Zea mays
Lineage: Eukaryota; Viridiplantae; Streptophyta; Magnoliopsida; Poales; Poaceae
Description: misc RNA Zm00001eb316550
Source: RNAcentral